GCCUUCGUGGUAUAGUGGUUAGCACGCUCGCCACGUAACCGAGAGGCCCAUGGUUCGAUUCCCGGCAAGGGCA
RNAcentral lists this transfer RNA (73 nucleotides) under Stegodyphus mimosarum. It matches the Rfam family "tRNA". Rfam says of the family: Transfer RNA (tRNA) molecules are approximately 80 nucleotides in length. The record is from Rfam by way of RNAcentral. Lineage: Eukaryota; Metazoa; Arthropoda; Arachnida; Araneae; Eresidae.